UGUAGUUGGUAUUUUUUUUUUCUUAGUGUAUCUAUUCACUCCACUUUUAAUGUUCACUAUUUAUCCAUUUACCACCAUGUUUUAGUUUUUAAACACUUUAAAUUAAAUUUUAAAUUCUCUUAGUAUAAGUAAAUAAAUAAAUUCGAAAACCUAAUUACCGAUAUUUAGUUUUUAUCCGUUAUACCGUGAUAAGGCUCGAUCAACGAGUUUGUUAUCGCCGCUAAACAGACAACCUUUUUCACCAUUCGAAACCAUUCGAAAAACCGAUGGUCACUAUGGGAUAGAGCUAGAAGUGUACAUAUUCGACGGGGAUGCAAGUGGACAACAUUAACCCAUUAGUUCCUACCGUUACUAUUAUGUAACAGCAAAGUGGUGCCAUCUAAAUAGAUCCUCUAUCUCAUACGUCGCAAAUUUGCAGUUGAAAACAGUCAGUUCUUAUCAGAAGGUGAUAGUGUUUACAUUGUUUAAAUGUGCGAUUUUAUUAGAACUUUGUUUCGAAUCUGUGCAUUGAUAAAAUAUAGCAAAACAAAUGAGGCUUCAAAUAAUGGACUUCGUUGAUAAAAAAGGCCUUGCUGCAGUUCUUCAAAGAGACUGUUCAAAAAUCUAUUGAUAUAGCCUUUGGAGAAUACAAGAUAGAUGACUCUAUAGAGGCAGUUUAUAUAGCGCCACCGAGGAUGAGGGCGAAGAUUUGGACAAUUUCAACAAACGUCAGCUACUUGCCGAUGCAGAAGUUAGAACUGAGAUAGAAUUAUACAGGAUAUGAAUUAGAAACAGGAAAUGGUACUGGGCAUUGUUUACAUGGCUUCUUGCCGUUUCCGUCAAUAACGCGUGGUGUUUGUAUCGAAAAUCAAAUAACUUUCAGAUGUCCCAAAUAGACUUUCGAAGGGCUAUCGUGUAAGUUCAUUUGAAGAAAUAUUCGUCACCUCCCAAAGGCACUGGCAGGACUCCAUCUCCAACUUCUAAUGCGCAAAGAGUAGCCGAUGAAAUUAGAUAAAUGAUAGGAUACCUAGUGGAUAAAAUUCCAAACAACAAAAGAAGGCGUUGUGUUACCUAUCACAUAAACCAAAAUGUUUAAAUUCCUUUUUCUUUAUUUUCAGUUUUUAAAUAAAUAGAACUGUUCACAGCUA
Diabrotica virgifera virgifera (western corn rootworm) is the source of this 1127-nucleotide long non-coding RNA. RefSeq lists it as uncharacterized. The transcript is spliced from 2 exons. Lineage: Eukaryota; Metazoa; Arthropoda; Insecta; Coleoptera; Chrysomelidae. The record is from RefSeq and is a predicted model, not a curated record.